UACGUAGGGGCGAGCGUUGUCCGGAAUUAUUGGGCGUAAAGAGCUUGUAGGCGGUUUGUCGCGUCUGCUGUGAAAAUCCGGGGCUCAACCCCGGACUUGCAGUGGGUACGGGCAGACUAGAGUGUGGUAGGGGAGACUGGGAUUCCUGGUGUAGCGGUGAAAUGCGCAGAUAUCAGGAGGAACACCGAUGGCGAAGGCAGGUCUCUGGGCCACUACUGACGCUGAGAAGCGAAAGCAUGGGGAGCGAACAGGAUUAGAUACCCCGGUAGU
Molecule: ribosomal RNA, 270 nt
Filed under: uncultured prokaryote
Description: partial 16S ribosomal RNA
Rfam family: Bacterial small subunit ribosomal RNA
Source: RNAcentral